CAACCUGCCGAUGACUCGGGGAUAGCCUUUCGAAAGAAAGAUUAAUACCCGAUGGCAUAGUUCUUCUGCAUGGUGGAACUAUUAAAGAAUUUCGGUCAUCGAUGGGGAUGCGUUCCAUUAGGUUGUUGGCGGGGUAACGGCCCACCAAGCCUUCGAUGGAUAGGGGUUCUGAGAGGAAGGUCCCCCACAUUGGAACUGAGACACGGUCCAAACUCCUACGGGAGGCAGCAGUGAGGAAUAUUGGUCAAUGGACGAGAGUCUGAACCAGCCAAGUAGCGUGAAGGAUGACUGCCCUAUGGGUUGUAAACUUCUUUUAUACGGGAAUAAAGUGAGGCACGUGUGCCUUUUUGUAUGUACCGUAUGAAUAAGGAUCGGCUAACUCCGUGCCAGCAGCCGCGGUAAUACGGAGGAUCCGAGCGUUAUCCGGAUUUAUUGGGUUUAAAGGGAGCGUAGGCGGACGCUUAAGUCAGUUGUGAAAGUUUGCGGCUCAACCGUAAAAUUGCAGUUGAUACUGGGUGUCUUGUGUACAGUAGAGGCAGGCGGAAUUCGUGGCGUAGCGGUGAAAUGCUUAGAUAUCACGAAGAACUCCGAUUG
This 594-nucleotide ribosomal RNA is filed under the name uncultured Bacteroidota bacterium. RNAcentral describes it as "bacterial SSU rRNA". It matches the Rfam family "Bacterial small subunit ribosomal RNA", at positions 122 to 715 of the family's 1533-position model. Lineage: Bacteria; Pseudomonadati; Bacteroidota. The record is from RNAcentral.